CAAAAACAACCAAACAAAACAGCCAAUGCGACCAAACCCCUUUCCGACCUCCUGCGCUCCGUUCGGAUAGCAGCUCCGGGCAGGUAUACAGAGCCGCACUAACUCGGGCUCAACGGGGAGCGACUUUUGUGCUCAGAGAACCCCCAGAUCAGCUCCCGGGAUGGAAAGGAACUGUAACUUCUGCUGCUCAGGUCUGUGGGAGGCUGGUCCCUCUUUGAACAUCUGGAGUGGUGUGUGGCUGCAUUCAUUGGAAGAGGAACCCCACGUGGAAAACCAGGGCCAGAGCUAAAGGCAGGAUUCAACUCCUCUUCACCCUUGAUGUGCUGGCCCAGCUCCAAGGAGAUGCUAAGGUAGCAGCUCAUACAACUCUGCUGGCUUUGGAAGGGAGCUUGGGAGUCCCCAGAUCCUUCUUGUUCGUGUAUUGGCUCCAGUCUCAUCACUUACAUGGAGAUUUGCUUGCAGUUGGGUUUUGCUGGAAGAUGAAGAGCAGGAAGCUCAGUAAGAAGAGCCACAUCCAAUGUUUCAGUGAGGGACUUCAGGAACCAUCGUUCUUCCCUAAAAAUGACAUGCCUAGAUUCCUCUGGCCACCCUGGGUUAUCUUCCACGUGGCCAACAGCAGUAAUUUUCUGUGAUCUAGGAAUAUCCCACUAGGCUUUCUAUUUCGCACUGUAAAUAAGUGGUUGCUUUUAACUCACUCCUUGUCAUAAUUUCACACACUCCUUGGUGUAUCAGAGCAUAAUAAAGAAGAUCAGAAGCCACAGUGCCUGACGUGGCUGCUUUACAUGUCUGCUCAAGACAGCCCUCACCAAAA
Molecule: long non-coding RNA, 811 nt
Organism: Gallus gallus (chicken)
Lineage: Eukaryota; Metazoa; Chordata; Aves; Galliformes; Phasianidae
Source: Ensembl